RNAcentral lists this long non-coding RNA (251 nucleotides) under Nicotiana benthamiana. RNAcentral's name for it is "long non-coding RNA (NBEN_LNC001279)". The record is from RNAcentral. Lineage: Eukaryota; Viridiplantae; Streptophyta; Magnoliopsida; Solanales; Solanaceae.
ACCGUAGGACUGAAAAUAUGGCGGAUGAAACUCUCGAUCUGAAACAAUGGCAACCUUCGACAUGGAGGAUGUCAUGAAAUUAAAGAAGAGAACCAGAGAAUUCUGUUUUAGUAAAUAGACGUGGGGGGGUGUAGUUAAAAAAGGGGAGAAAUGCAUCGGUUUUGCUUGGAAGAAAGAGAAAACAUGUAAAAAAAAAUAUGAAAAGAUUUUGUUCCACAAAUCAAGCAAAUAAUUAAUGAGUUGAUCAUUAA